Molecule: unclassified non-coding RNA, 109 nt
Organism: Cercocebus atys (sooty mangabey)
Lineage: Eukaryota; Metazoa; Chordata; Mammalia; Primates; Cercopithecidae
Rfam family: Y RNA
About the family: Y RNAs are components of the Ro ribonucleoprotein particle (Ro RNP), in association with Ro60 and La proteins. The Y RNAs and Ro60 and La proteins are well conserved, but the function of the Ro RNP is not known. In humans the RNA component can be one of four small RNAs -- hY1, hY3, hY4 and hY5.
Source: Ensembl
GGCUGAUACAGAGAUAGUAAGUUAUCGUGAUUGUUCACUGUCAGUUACAGACCAAACUCCUUAUUCGACUUGUGCUCCACUUCCCACCACUGCACUUGACUAGUCUUAA